RNAcentral lists this ribosomal RNA (457 nucleotides) under uncultured bacterium. RNAcentral's name for it is "bacterial SSU rRNA". It matches the Rfam family "Bacterial small subunit ribosomal RNA", at positions 923 to 1379 of the family's 1533-position model. The record is from RNAcentral.
GCACAAGCGGUGGAGCAUGUGGUUUAAUUCGAAGCAACGCGAAGAACCUUACCAAAUCUUGACAUCCUUUGAUCACUCUAGAGAUAGAGCUUUCCCCUUCGGGGGACAAAGUGACAGGUGGUGCAUGGUUGUCGUCAGCUCGUGUCGUGAGAUGUUGGGUUAAGUCCCGCAACGAGCGCAACCCUUAAACUUAGUUGCCAGCAUUUAGUUGGGCACUCUAGGUUGACUGCCGGUGACAAACCGGAGGAAGGUGGGGAUGACGUCAAAUCAUCAUGCCCCUUAUGAUUUGGGCUACACACGUGCUACAAUGGACAAUACAAAGGGCAGCUAAACCGCGAGGUCAUGCAAAUCCCAUAAAGUUGUUCUCAGUUCGGAUUGUAGUCUGCAACUCGACUACAUGAAGCUGGAAUCGCUAGUAAUCGUAGAUCAGCAUGCUACGGUGAAUACGUUCCCGGGC